AGUGAACGCUGGCGGUAGGCCUAACACAUGCAAGUCGAACGGCAGCACAGUAAGAGCUUGCUCUUACGGGUGGCGAGUGGCGGACGGGUGAGGAAUACAUCGGAAUCUACUUUUUCGUGGGGGAUAACGUAGGGAAACUUACGCUAAUACCGCAUACGACCUACGGGUGAAAGCAGGGGAUCUUCGGACCUUGCGCGAUUGGAUGAGCCGAUGUCGGACUAGCUAGUUGGCGGGGUAAAGGCCCACCAAGGCGACGAUCCGUAGCUGGUCUGAGAGGAUGAUCAGCCACACUGGAACUGAGACACGGUCCAGACUCCUACGGGAGGCAGCAGUGGGGAAUAUUGGACAAUGGGCGCAAGCCUGAUCCAGCCAUACCGCGUGGGUGAAGAAGGCCUUCGGGUUGUAAAGCCCUUUUGUUGGGAAAGAAAAGCAGCAGGUUAAUACCCCGCUGUUCUGACGGUACCCAAAGAAUAAGCACCGGCUAACUUCGUG
Molecule: ribosomal RNA, 492 nt
Filed under: uncultured bacterium
Lineage: Bacteria
Description: partial 16S ribosomal RNA
Rfam family: Bacterial small subunit ribosomal RNA
Source: RNAcentral